This 505-nucleotide ribosomal RNA is filed under the name uncultured Ideonella sp. RNAcentral describes it as "bacterial SSU rRNA". It matches the Rfam family "Bacterial small subunit ribosomal RNA", at positions 1 to 506 of the family's 1533-position model. Lineage: Bacteria; Pseudomonadati; Pseudomonadota; Betaproteobacteria; Burkholderiales; Sphaerotilaceae. The record is from RNAcentral.
UAUUAGAGUUUGAAUCUGGCUCAGAUUGAACGCUGGCGGCAUGCCUUACACAUGCAAGUCGAACGGUAACGCGGGGCAACCUGGCGACGAGUGGCGAACGGGUGAGUAAUACAUCGGAACGUGCCCAGUAGUGGGGGAUAGCCCGGCGAAAGCCGGAUUAAUACCGCAUACGACCUACGGGUGAAAGGGGGGGAUCGCAAGACCUCUCGCUAUUGGAGCGGCCGAUGUCAGAUUAGGUAGUUGGUGGGGUAAAAGCCUACCAAGCCGACGAUCUGUAGCUGGUCUGAGAGGACGACCAGCCACACUGGGACUGAGACACGGCCCAGACUCCUACGGGAGGCAGCAGUGGGGAAUUUUGGACAAUGGGCGCAAGCCUGAUCCAGCCAUGCCGCGUGCGGGAAGAAGGCCUUCGGGUUGUAAACCGCUUUUGUCAGGGAAGAAACGCUCUAGGUUAAUACCCUGGGGUAAUGACGGUACCUGAAGAAUAAGCACCGGCUACCUACGC